AUGCAUAUCGAGAAAAACAUUUGUGAAAACCUCAUUGGGACAAUUCUCAACAUGGAAGGGAAGACGAAGGACACACUUAAUGCUAGGCUUGAUCUCCAAGAUUUGAAUAUUAAAGAGGAGUUGCAUUUGAGGAAGGAUGGAAACUCAUAUGAGGUUCCUCGGGCCCGGUAUACCUUGUCUAAAGAACAAGUAGUUGCAUUUUGUCAAUUUUUACGGGAGUUAAAGUUUCCAGAUGGGUUUGCUUCCAACAUAUCCAGAUGUACAAGUGCUGAUGGAACCAAGGUCCAAGGCCUAAAAACACAUGAUUGUCACAUUCUUUUGCAAAGAAUCUUACCAACUGGCAUGAGAGGAUUUCUGGAUAGUGAUAUAUAUGAAGCAAUAGCUGAGUUGGGCAAGUUUUUCAGGGAACUGUGCAGCAAAACUCUUAACAGGGAUGUGUUGGCUGAAAUGAAGAAAGAAAUCCCUGUAAUUUUGUGCAAGCUUGAGAAAAUUUUCCCUCCUGCUUUCUUUGAUGUGAUGGUGCACCUUGCCGUACAUUUACCCAAAGAGGCAUUACUCCGAGGUCUCGUAUAA
RNAcentral lists this ribosomal RNA (573 nucleotides) under Triticum aestivum (bread wheat). RNAcentral describes it as "partial small subunit ribosomal RNA". The record is from RNAcentral. Lineage: Eukaryota; Viridiplantae; Streptophyta; Magnoliopsida; Poales; Poaceae.